CCUUUAGAAUUUAAUUUAAGGUCUAAUCUGCCCACUGAGUAAUUAAAUGGCCGCGGUAUUUUGACCGUGCGAAGGUAGCAUAAUCAUUAGUUUUUUAAUUGGAAGCUGGAAUGAAUGAUUGGAUGAGAAAAUAACUGUCUCAAAUUAAUUUAAUUAGAAAUUUAUUUUUAAGUUAAAAAGCUUAAAUAAGUUUAAAAGACGAGAAGACCCUAUAGAGUUUUAUAAUUUAUUUUAUUUAAAAUAAAUUGUUUUUAUUGAUUUAAUAAUAUAAAAUUAUUUUGUUGGGGUGACAGAAAAAUUUAAUAAACUUUUUUUUUAUUUAAAUACUAAUAAGUAAAUAAUUGAUCCAAAAUUUUUGAUUAAAAGAUUAAAUUACCUUAGGGAUAACAGCGUAAUUAUUUUUGAGAGUCCUUAUCGAAAAAAAAGAUUGCGACCUCGAUGUUGGAUUAAAAUUAAGUUUUGGUGUAGAAGCUAAAAUUUUAGGUCUGUUCGACCUUUAAAACUUU
Molecule: ribosomal RNA, 506 nt
Filed under: Cymatodera sp. UPSA 17015
Lineage: Eukaryota; Metazoa; Arthropoda; Insecta; Coleoptera; Cleridae
Description: partial 16S ribosomal RNA
Rfam family: Bacterial large subunit ribosomal RNA (bases 383-506)
Source: RNAcentral